UGAGCACACAUCACUCACAUGAGUGACCAAACCCGCUGCACAGAGGAAGAGGCAGGAAGUUCCUUCUUUCACUUCCAGUCAUGCUGCAUUGGGCAGCUUGUGGUGGAACAGAAGGUCUCUGCAUGGUGGGCAGUGUGGGCGGACUUCGGGAUUCACCGUGAAAAACAAUAACGAGCCAAGGACACUUCCCAAGCAGGGGUUCAAAGAUAUCACUCUUCACAUGAAGGUCAAAACGUGUGGAAAGAUGCACUGAAGCCUUGACAUGAGUCAUAUGAAAGAGACUUUACAGCUUGCUGCAUCUACUUGACCAGCAGAUUUUCAUUGUUUCUUCUAUGGAUUUCUCUUGGAACCAAAGAAGCAAAGUCCAGUGUCUGGAUUGUGUCUGUUGACAAGCCCGCUGGAUGGCCUGUAGAAAGCGCUCAUGGGGCUGAUAUAUACGGGGCACCUCUGAGGCUCGUCUGACUGGGCCUGCCACUUGUGUUUUGUGUAGACGGAGCGAAAGGGAACGAGGAGACAAGGAUCAUGUCCUCUCUUGGAGAAGUGCUAACUUGGGCAGGGAAAGGAAUUUUUUGUGGUUUAUUCAGAGAGCGGCUCCAUCUGUGUAAACUGGCGCUUGCCAGGAUGUCGACUCCCUCGCUUUCUGCACAGACACACGCUUAACCCCUUCAACACCUUCUGCUCACCAUAUCUGCUAGUCACAGUCACAAACAAUUACACAGCUAACAAGAUAAUCUUACUUAAUAUUGCAAAGUAAAAAUUACAUCUUGCAAAAGCAGAAUCAACCAAAAACAAGACAAACCCUUUUGAAAAAG
Molecule: long non-coding RNA, 812 nt
Organism: Cyprinus carpio carpio
Lineage: Eukaryota; Metazoa; Chordata; Actinopteri; Cypriniformes; Cyprinidae
Source: Ensembl